RNAcentral lists this ribosomal RNA (869 nucleotides) under Salmonella enterica. Its description in RNAcentral is "partial 23S ribosomal RNA". It matches the Rfam family "Bacterial large subunit ribosomal RNA", at positions 890 to 1756 of the family's 2925-position model. Lineage: Bacteria; Pseudomonadati; Pseudomonadota; Gammaproteobacteria; Enterobacterales; Enterobacteriaceae. The record is from RNAcentral. RNAcentral also lists the same sequence under 1 other name.
UCAUCUCCGGGGGUAGAGCACUGUUUCGGCUAGGGGGCCAUCCCGGCUUACCAACCCGAUGCAAACUGCGAAUACCGGAGAAUGUUAUCACGGGAGACACACGGCGGGUGCUAACGUCCGUCGUGAAGAGGGAAACAACCCAGACCGCCAGCUAAGGUCCCAAAGUCAUGGUUAAGUGGGAAACGAUGUGGGAAGGCCCAGACAGCCAGGAUGUUGGCUUAGAAGCAGCCAUCAUUUAAAGAAAGCGUAAUAGCUCACUGGUCGAGUCGGCCUGCGCGGAAGAUGUAACGGGGCUAAACCAUGCACCGAAGCUGCGGCAGCGACGCUGAUGCGUUGUUGGGUAGGGGAGCGUUCUGUAAGCCUGCGAAGGUGGCCUGUGAGGGUUGCUGGAGGUAUCAGAAGUGCGAAUGCUGACAUAAGUAACGAUAAAGCGGGUGAAAAGCCCGCUCGCCGGAAGACCAAGGGUUCCUGUCCAACGUUAAUCGGGGCAGGGUGAGUCGACCCCUAAGGCGAGGCCGAAAGGCGUAGUCGAUGGGAAACGGGUUAAUAUUCCCGUACUUGGUGUUACUGCGAAGGGGGGACGGAGAAGGCUAUGUUGGCCGGGCGACGGUUGUCCCGGUUUAAGCGUGUAGGUGUGUGUUCCAGGUAAAUCCGGUUCACUUUAACACUGAGGCGUGAUGACGAGGCACUACGGUGCUGAAGCAACAAAUGCCCUGCUUCCAGGAAAAGCCUCUAAGCAUCAGGUAACAUCAAAUCGUACCCCAAACCGACACAGGUGGUCAGGUAGAGAAUACCAAGGCGCUUGAGAGAACUCGGGUGAAGGAACUAGGCAAAAUGGUGCCGUAACUUCGGGAGAAGGCACGCUGACA